CAUAGAUGUUCCUAGGAACGACGAUGUCGCCGAUGUUGUUGUGCCACGGGUCCGCCAGGUGCGCGCCCAGGUUCUCCAGCGGGCCGGUGCCGGGGUACGCCGACUGCUGCACGCAGAAGCCCACGAACGCCAGCAUCGCCAGCCGCCCUGCAUCAUCAUCAGAGACAAGAUCAUACUACAUCAGCACCGAACGCUACACGCACUGCAGAUGGUUAAGAUUCAGGGGAUGGCACGUACCGUUCUUGAUCUCCUUGAGCUUGAGCUCCUCGAACUUGGCCGGGUCCUUGGAGAAUCCCAGCGGGUCGAAGGCGCCGCCGGGGUACUUCUUCUUCUCCGGGUCCUUCUCCAUGGUGCGCUGCUGCUCCGCGAAGGCGAUGGCCAGGAACUCGAUGGCCAGGAUGGUCGGCAGGUUGCCCCACGGCACGGGCACGCCGAAGUAGGUCGCCUGCCCGUCGGGGAGCGCCGCCCAUUCCUGCGCCUUCACCCAGUUCCCCAGCCCCAGCGCCUCCGGCACCAACACCCCUGGCUGCACGCCAACACGCACGGUUUAUCACUAGCGAACAGCUUGAAAAGUGAUGCAGAGGAGAGCAGAGGAGCACGGUUACGUACCACGCAGAGCAUGGCCCAGCGGCAGUGGUAGAUCUCGGACUCCUUGAACCGCUCGAAGUUCUCCGGUACGGUGGCGAGGCCGAGGGGGUCGAACCCGAAGUCGCUGAGAGUUAACAAAGGCAAGAGUUAAUCACCGGUCAGAUAUACCCCUCCGUCUCACCGUCUCAUGUCAAGUGAAUUUCUAUUGCAUGUAUCUGUGUAGAUACAUUUGGACAAAUUUAAGUCACUUAAUAUGGGACACAGCGAGUACAUGUUUUGGAUUUAGUAUGGCAAAUGGAUGCUUACCCGGGCGAGGAGCCGUCGAGGUGGGCAGGGCGGGGCUGGCCGGGGAACCACUCGGCGGACAUGGUGACCCGGCCGGAGGUGGUGGCGAAGGCGCAGAACGGCAGGCCCGAGCGGCCGGACCGGGACGAAGGCGCCAGCAGGCUGGGCACGCCCACGGCGCUGCAGCUCCUCAGCCCGCUCGACGACGCCAUCGACAUUGCUGCUAGCUCGAUGCUACCCAGUUAGUUUCAGUUCUUGCUGCGCUCUCCGGCAACAACAACAAGAAGAGGGGAGGAUCAGGCGUCC
Molecule: long non-coding RNA, 1179 nt
Filed under: Brachypodium distachyon (stiff brome)
Lineage: Eukaryota; Viridiplantae; Streptophyta; Magnoliopsida; Poales; Poaceae
Description: long non-coding RNA (BDIS_LNC000786)
Source: RNAcentral